UGGGGCGUAGCCAAGUGGUAAGGCAACGGUUUUUGGUACCGCGUACCGUAGGUUCGAAUCCUACCGCCCCAGCCA
RNAcentral lists this transfer RNA (75 nucleotides) under Paracoccus jeotgali. RNAcentral's name for it is "tRNA-Gln". It matches the Rfam family "tRNA". Rfam says of the family: Transfer RNA (tRNA) molecules are approximately 80 nucleotides in length. The record is from RNAcentral. Lineage: Bacteria; Pseudomonadati; Pseudomonadota; Alphaproteobacteria; Rhodobacterales; Paracoccaceae.